CAGCCCUUGACAUCCCGGUCGCGGUUUCCAGAGAUGGAUUCCUUCAGUUCGGCUGGACCGGUGACAGGUGCUGCAUGGCUGUCGUCAGCUCGUGUCGUGAGAUGUUGGGUUAAGUCCCGCAACGAGCGCAACCCUCGCCCCUAGUUGCCAUCAUUAAGUUGGGCACUCUAGGGGGACUGCCGGUGAUAAGCCGAGAGGAAGGUGGGGAUGACGUCAAGUCCUCAUGGCCCUUACGGGCUGGGCUACACACGUGCUACAAUGGUGGUGACAGUGGGCAGCGAGACCGCGAGGUCGAGCUAAUCUCCAAAAGCCAUCUCAGUUCGGAUUGUUCUCUGCAACUCGAGAGCAUGAAGUUGGAAUCGCUAGUAAUCGCGGAUCAGCAUGCCGCGGUGAAUACGUUCCC
This 403-nucleotide ribosomal RNA is filed under the name uncultured bacterium. RNAcentral describes it as "bacterial SSU rRNA". It matches the Rfam family "Bacterial small subunit ribosomal RNA", at positions 975 to 1375 of the family's 1533-position model. The record is from RNAcentral.